CUGAAUUGCCGCCUCCGUGGCCGCGAGAGCGCUCCGCCGCAGGGGUUCCGACAGAGGACGGCCCCCCCCACCCACAUUUGAAACGAUCGCGGCUGUUGAUGGGGUAGGAACACCGCCCGUUAACCGCUCCGGCGGGUAAGAAAGGGCGCUGGGAAGCCGCCCCCCUCGGUCUUUUCGGGGAGGUAAGCUGCUUCGCUCCUUUCCCUUCUCCGUCUUCUUCUACUCUCACUCCAACCCACCACCAAUCCCCACCCCUCGGCCAGAACAGGAAUCUCCUUCCGUGCCGUGAAUGAAUGGGGAAGAAGGGCCUCUCUCGAGGAAGGAGGGGGAGAGUCCCGUGACGACGGCCGGUCCUUCUCAGGAACGCGCGGAGAGCGCCGAAGCUGCCGGUGCCUUUGGGGCGGCAGCUUCGAUGAUCCUUGACCAUCAUCGAAGGUUCAACGCAAUCUCUUCCUUCUUCCUUCGAUCGCAUUGUUUCUCCCGCUUGGCGUCUGCACUCCGCUUGUCCCCUGCGAUUGUUGCGAGUUUUUAUUGUGUACUCUGUUCACUCUUCAAGCGCACAGUGACUGGUACCUGCCCUACCUGCCUUCAUGAGCCGGCUGAGCAUUUGUUUGCUUUCGUUUUCGUGACCAGAAUCGAUAUGCAGCCCUGCCAAUGCUUAGCCAUGCGCGUGUGAAUAGUAUUAGUUCGCUCCGCUGCUCAGGUAAAAGAGCGUCGAAGGUAAACGUGUAAACCUUCCGAGAUUCCCAUACUGUGAGCGCGAAGUCUCCGCUGUAAAAAGCAUGGAUCGAAGUAAGAAAAUCUCGUAAGAAGAAAGAAAGGAAGGAUUCUCCUGUCUACUGUUCUCAUAAUUAUUUGUGGUUCUGGUCAGCUAAAAGAGCAAUAAAAGUAGAGGUCUAACCUUCGGGGAUUCAUAUGUUGUGAGCGCCAAAUCUCCGGUGUACAGUAUGGAUCGAAGUAAGAAAAUCUCGUAAGAAAAAAAAAAGAAAAAAGGAAGGAUUCUCCUGUCUGCUGUUCUCGUAAUUAUUUAUGGUUUAUCGGUUUUUGAAAUGAGUUAAUUGUUUAGAAUUAUCAUCGUAACUCUUGGAUUUCACAUAUCAGGACCUGAAUGGAAGAUGCCUACUCUGCUCAGGAUGACAAUGCCUGGACCAUAUCAUCCCCUCGUCCCAUUUGGAGAAAAAAUUCGCUAGCGUUCAUGACCCCGUAAUCUAUUAUGUCUGCACAUUUUAUACCAUUUACUUCAUUAUUUCUCCCGUUUUAGAUUAGGUUCGCCAUUUUAUAUUCAUCUACACAGUUUGCCUUCACUGAGUUCACGCAUCUUCUUAACAUGUAGAGCCCAAAGUUAUCCAUUCUUUCUUGGGGUGUGAGAGGCAUUUCAUUGCUGCCCGAAGUUCGCCAUUUCUAACACAAUGGCUUCUGUGGAGAUUCUACAUAAGAAAUCUGUUUGAAUUUCGUAUGAAACACUCCUUCGUAGACUUAAUUUACACAAGAAUGGAAUCCAGCCCAUUUCACAAUCGCUCUUUUUUAAUUGUUCAUGGAUUUCGCUAAUGAUAAAAAAACAUUUAUUUGUACAGUUUGGCGAAUCUCAUGCAGUUGCAGUUACCUCAAUGCCCUUGAGACUCGCCCUCUUGGCAUUCCGAGGGCAUGGACUGGCUGAUGCCAUUUUAUUUCCCUUGAUAAUACCGCGAACUUAGCCUAUAGUUUUGUGUUCUGAUCUUCAUUUGGUUUCAUCUUCGUCCUCUGAUUUGAAACUCCAGCAGGCGAAGCAGAGUGCUCUGCAGACCAAAUGGUUUCUAACACAGAGUUGACCACCAGGAAUUUCUUUGACUGGAAUGGAUGGGAACAAGGUGCAACUGAUAUUGCUAUAAUUCAUUUAAAUCUCGGCAUUGAAAUUUGAAGCGAAAGAAUGGGAAAUGACGACAGAAUGACCUACACAAUGGACCAAUCCACCAUGCUUAGGAUGAGAUUUUAUCUCCCUCACACCAUGUUCAGAACCCUGUUACAGGGGUGCCUGAGUGAUGGAACAAAAAUGAUUGAAGAGGAGAGGGAAGAGAGGAAGGGAGGCUUGUGUGGGUGAUUUUGUGAUGGUUCUGUGGCUCCCCGAGCUCACAUGUUGAAGCCCAUUUGACCUGAUGGAGCACAAGGACAAGGUAAGCACUGUGUAGAGCUUAUUUGAGAGAUGGGCGGGCUUCUCAGAAAUUACUAAACUGAUCAAACUGUCCUUGUGAUGAAAUUGUAAACUGUCUUUAUGGGCAAAUGAUGGGAGUUUAAUAAAGUCGUACAAAGUAAGGCUAAGAAAUUAAUGAUAUUUUUGACUCACCCAAAGCUAUGAUAAACCAAUAAAAACGGAUGGAUCGUGAUCAGGACAAAUUUCCUCGUUGGCUAUAUUUGAC
Molecule: long non-coding RNA, 2393 nt
Filed under: Spirodela polyrhiza (greater duckweed)
Lineage: Eukaryota; Viridiplantae; Streptophyta; Magnoliopsida; Alismatales; Araceae
Description: long non-coding RNA (SPOL_LNC000951)
Source: RNAcentral